This 73-nucleotide transfer RNA is filed under the name Marmota monax (woodchuck). Its description in RNAcentral is "tRNA.Ala". It matches the Rfam family "tRNA". Rfam says of the family: Transfer RNA (tRNA) molecules are approximately 80 nucleotides in length. Their secondary structure includes four short double-helical elements and three loops (D, anti-codon, and T loops). Further hydrogen bonds mediate the characteristic L-shaped molecular structure. tRNAs have two regions of fundamental functional importance: the anti-codon, which is responsible for specific mRNA codon recognition, and the 3' end, to which the tRNAs corresponding amino acid is attached (by aminoacyl-tRNA synthetases). tRNAs cope with the degeneracy of the genetic code in two manners: having more than one tRNA (with a specific anti-codon) for a particular amino acid; and 'wobble' base-pairing, i.e. permitting non-standard base-pairing at the 3rd anti-codon position. Lineage: Eukaryota; Metazoa; Chordata; Mammalia; Rodentia; Sciuridae. The record is from RNAcentral.
UGAGGUUGUAGCUCAGUGGUAGGGCAUUUGCCUAGCAUGCAUGAAGCCUUGAGAUCAAUUCCCCAUACCUCAA